GUGCUUAUUAGAACACGUAUUAUUAAGAAAUCAGGAAAUUUCUGAAUAUAUACAAGAGGAAAGGUGGCGUGUUAAGAAAGGAAACAAGAGCCUUGUGCUUAACUUAAGCCGUUAUUGUACACAGAACUGCGUGAUUUUUUACUAAUGUCAGAUGACUCCAUUUCCGAUGUGUUAAAGUUAUUUAUGUAACGCGUUAUAUUUCGGUAAAUCUGUAAACAUUGGAGUAGA
This is a non-coding RNA of Schizosaccharomyces pombe (fission yeast), 228 nucleotides long. Lineage: Eukaryota; Fungi; Ascomycota; Schizosaccharomycetes; Schizosaccharomycetales; Schizosaccharomycetaceae. The record is from the annotation of a GenBank genome assembly.